GGCCAAAGUCCAGGACGCUUUAAGCGAGGCACUGGAAACCUUUUCCUGUGUGGUCAGGCCUCGAACCAGGACCCUGUUGCUCCGGACAUAACUGUCAUAAAGAGCAGUGAUUUUGAGAUGCCUUGACUCAGAUUGAAGUGGAAAGGACGCACUGAAUGACCCAUGUUUCGUUUCGUGAUGUCGCCGAAUAUUGUACUCGGAGACGCAAACGAAGAUGACCUGGUUGCAGAUGAGGCACAGAGGUUUGGCAUUCACAUAUCCCGACCUGGCUGUGUCUGAUCGCUCUGGGAGUUUCCUGGUUGGACCUGACGCGAAACGAAGUGAGCGGCGUCAGUAUCUUGAUGGAGCAGCCGCAGGAGUCUCAGUCCUGAACACGAGCUGCUCUGCGGGACACUCCUGGACGACUGAGAGCUCACACAAACAUGAGCGUUAACCCUCCCUGGACUGUUUAUACUUUGUAACCCGUAUUUAUUUUAUAUCAGUGUUAUAAAUACCGUGAAGGAGAGAUUUAACAGUUUACUUUUUCUUUUUUUUUUUAAUGGGAAAAACAAGUGGAAAACUGGGGUAAAUUUUGGGGGGGGGGGGGGAGUGUGGGGGGAAAGGGAGAAAAAACAAUCAUUUUUUUCUGCCCUUUUGUUGUUAAAGGAACAGGCCACCGUUUUUCCAUACUGAGAUCUGUUCUUACCUGAGUUUAGACGAGUUGAUACGUACCUGUCUGGUCUUUGUGCCCGUGGAAGAGCGUGGUAGCUUCCAACAUCACCCCGUUUGGAGCCAUAGUAUAUACACUAAAAGUAACUCAACUUUUAACCCAAAGUUGGACCGAUCCAACGUUGGGUAAUUUUUAACCCAACGCUGGGUUGUUUAUUCUUAUUAUUCUUUAACCCAAUGUUUGGGUUAAUUCAUAAUGACCAACCCAGUGCUGUUUUAGAAACUUUACUUCUUACAAAUGCACCAACCACAUAAUUGUUUAACACAACAUCGUCAGCAAAUAAUUAAUUUGGCUGUUAACAGGCCUAAGGAAAGUCCCCACUGUCCAUAUUGUACUUGCUCUAUUUUGGUGAAGUGAUCCUUUUUCAGAGUCAGAGACAGGUCUGGGGACAGUUCAGUCUACAGCAGCAGAGACCACUGUCGAAAUAAAGAGAGACAUCGUCAAAGAUAAAAUCCAAUACCUGGUAACAGUUACUCCACCAGAGACACUGACCUUCCCAUAAGACAGUGACAGUAUAAUGUAAGACCUUACCUUGGUGAAGUGACAGAAGCUUGUGGAGGUCGUCUCAGAGGCAGGCGGACACUUCCUCUGAGCUGAAGAUUCCAGUGGAAGAGAAACAUUACAUUUGUGUUUGGUCUAAAACUAUAAAGAGUCAUGUUAUACUAAAUACUGCACUUACUGGGACUUGUGUCCAGUGAUGCAGAUGAUGAUCUUCAGACAGACAGUGGAAGAGCUCAGGAGAGUUCAUUUUCAUUUAGUUCAUUUGUGCAGAUGUGGCAGCACCAGUCCAUUGUGUUUCCUUGGUCUACAACCUGUAGUACAGCCAUCCAACCUGCCACUGUGAAGUACUUUUUGAUGCGAGGAAUAUCAAUAUUUUUUUAACCUUGAAGGCAUCGGAAACCUUCGCCACUGGUGUCACAUGGCUUUCGUUUAAGGUGCACCCCAGCAGGGCCAUUUCUGCCAUGUGAUCCUCCACAAACCACAGCAGCAUCACUGUCAUUAUAGAUAAAUAUAAACUAGUGUACCAAAUCAUUUCCUGGAGAAUGAAAACAUUUGUUACAGUAUUGUGGCUGGAAAAGUAAACCAACAAUGUACACGUGAACAACUAUUGUAUUGUGGUGUGCAUGUUAUGAGAGGUGCCUCUUACCCAACAGGCUUUGGGGUUUGGGGGCGUGUCCAGCCCUUCCUGUGUGUUCAUCUUUUUCUCCGGCCAUUAUUCCAGUGGCUCAAGAUAAAUAAAGUUGACUCACUUGCAGCUCGCAUGUGUCCUCGUCUUUCUCGCCACAGUAUCAUGUUUUUUUUUGUAAAUGAUGUGAUUCAACAUUAGAAUUAUUAUUAAAAUAUUUUUUUCAAUAUAGAAUGUUUAAUUUAUAAUGCUUGAUUCAGUCCUUCAUAUUCUACUCUUUUUUUUAAAUAAUUUGAUCAUAUCACUGACCUCCCCCCACUAAAUGUUUUAACUACAAUAACAUAAUAUUAACUAUACUGUGUAUAUGUAUGUAUAUGUGUGUAUGUAUAUAUAUACAGUGGGGAAAAAAAGUAUUUAGUCAACCAACAAUUGUGCAAGUUCUCCCACUUAAAAAGAU
This 2292-nucleotide long non-coding RNA is filed under the name Neogobius melanostomus (round goby). RNAcentral's name for it is "lncRNA (ENSNMLG00000001476.1)". Lineage: Eukaryota; Metazoa; Chordata; Actinopteri; Gobiiformes; Gobiidae. The record is from RNAcentral.